RNAcentral lists this ribosomal RNA (405 nucleotides) under uncultured bacterium. RNAcentral describes it as "bacterial SSU rRNA". It matches the Rfam family "Bacterial small subunit ribosomal RNA", at positions 370 to 772 of the family's 1533-position model. The record is from RNAcentral.
AAUGGGCGAGAGCCUGAACCAGCCAUCCCGCGUGCAGGAAGACGGCCCUAUGGGUUGUAAACUGCUUUUUUAUGGGAAGAAAAAGCUCUACGUGUAGGGCACUGACGGUACCAUAUGAAUAAGCAUCGGCUAACUCCGUGCCAGCAGCCGCGGUAAUACGGAGGAUGCGAGCGUUAUCCGGAUUUAUUAGGUUUAAAGGGUGUGUAGGCGGGUUAUUAAGUCAGUGGUGAAAUCUCAGAGCUUAACUCUGAAACUGCCAUUGAUACUGGUAAUCUUGAGUACAGUUGAAGUAGGCGGAAUGUGUAAUGUAGCGGUGAAAUGCUUAGAUAUUACACAGAACACCGAUUGCGAAGGCAGCUUACUAAGCUGUUACUGACGCUGAUGCACGAAAGCGUGGGGAGCGAA